RNAcentral lists this ribosomal RNA (282 nucleotides) under uncultured bacterium. Its description in RNAcentral is "partial 16S ribosomal RNA". It matches the Rfam family "Bacterial small subunit ribosomal RNA", at positions 333 to 607 of the family's 1533-position model. The record is from RNAcentral.
UUCGGCCUACGGGACGCAGCAGUAGGGAAUCUUCCACAAUGGGCGAAAGCCUGAUGGAGCAACGCCGCAUGGGUGAAGAAGGUCUUCGGAUCGUAAAACCCUGUUGUUAGAGAAGAAAGUGCGUGAGAGUAACUGUUCACGUUUCGACGGUAUCUAACCAGAAAGCCACGGCUAACUACGUGCCAGCAGCCGCGGUAAUACGUAGGUGGCAAGCGUUAUCCGGAUUUAUUGGGCGUAAAGGGAACGCAGGCGGCCUUUUAAGUCUGAUGUGAAAGCCUUCGG